This 1547-nucleotide long non-coding RNA is filed under the name Rattus norvegicus (Norway rat). RNAcentral describes it as "long non-coding RNA NONRATT005148". The record is from RNAcentral. Lineage: Eukaryota; Metazoa; Chordata; Mammalia; Rodentia; Muridae.
GCUAGGGGUACCAGGACCACAGCUCUGAAUAAAACUUUACGCUUGGGUCAGAAGAAACCCAACUUCAGGAACCACAGCCCAGGUGCUAUCGUGUCAUAGGUAAACUCCAGAAUACCUAAUGACUAGACCUUGUGGGUACCAGGCUCUACGGUGUUGGGCCAAACCCUGGGCUUGGCCCUUGGUAAACAUGCACUGUGGCAGCCACAUGGCCAGCCUCUCCUGUAUACCUCACAUGUGAUACUCUGCCUCCCCCUUCCCAUUAUAACUGUGGGCUAGCUCAUCUAGAUAGCAAGUUCCAGGCUAGCCAAGGCUGUGUACGUUUUGUGGAACCUCGGUAGACUAGACUUGCACUCAAACAUUGUCUCAAGGAAACAGAAGUUUGUUCUGUGUGCAGUGGCUCAUACCUACAAUCCCUGCACAUGAGAGGCAGAUCACGUGUCCAAGGCCAGCAUUAGGUAUUGAACAAGGUCCUGACUCAAGGGGGCAGGUGGGGUGCAGUUGUAAGGUGUAACCCUAAAGCCCGUGGAGAAAAUUAGACUGGCAUUCCACCUGUUGGCCCACAAAACCAGAUUGCAACUUGGGUAAGCAUUCUGGUUGGGAUAGUGCAGGGGAGACACAGAUGGAGCUGCUUCUCCAGACCCCAGCCAACUUCCAAGAACUUGUCCCUAAACCAGAAACCACUAGCUGGUCAAACUUACAGAGCAGCUUUGGUUUGGAGCCUGGAGCAGGUCUUAUCUGUGGCACCAGGGCUACUGGGGAAACUAAUACUACACAUGACUUUCCAAAAUCUCCCUGGAGGUGAGAAAGUACCCAGUCUGGUUUGGUGGGGUCAGGCCUGGCAACAGGCCCUGCAGGGCAAGGUGCAUAAGCUAAGGUAGGCACCAUGGUCUCCCUACCACAGGGGAGGGCAGCUGGAAAAGCUUCCUACCCCUGCAUGGAGAGCUACUGAGGGGAAGGGGAAACAACUAGGGCAGGUCAGAGGACAGGCAGAGAGGGGUGCCAUCCUAGGGGCCGUCACUCUUCACAGAGAGAGGAGAGCAGUGGGCUAGCCUCACUCCCAUUGUUGUGUUGUAGGCUAAGAGCUAAUUUCCACUUGGACCCUGGGCACAGCUCCAAGGCCUGAGCCGUCAGCACUUUUCUGUCAACCUUAGGUCUUUUUUUCCUAAAGAAUGACUUUAUAGUUCACCAAAAAGUGAAAAGUUACUUUUUACUGCCAGCAGAGGUGUCAGGACAUGUGUACAAAGAAAAAAAAAUAAAAAAACACUUCAAGUGUGUGUGUGUGUGGGCGCGCGUGCGCGUGCUGUGUGAACAAGAACCAAGUUUGGAUCCCUGGGUGGAUCCUGGGGGAAGGGGGGCAGGGGCGGCAGGCUCUCUGGCCAGCAGUCAAUCCAGUCAAGUUGGCAAGAUCCAGGUAGGUCUAAUGAGAGACACUGUCGAAAGAUGGAGAGAGGAAGGCGCUGACAUUGACCUCUGGCCUCUAAACAUGUACUCAUGGACAUGUGUAGACACACAAUUGUCUUUUCAAUAAACGCUGCCGUGAGAGUUGC